CAUGGUAAAAACAACACUCCAAGCUCUGCUUCCAUUUAUGGCAACAGGCAUCCUCCAAAGCAUCAAGGUCUCUGGAUUCUCUCCGGACCUCUCACAUCCUCCUCCUCUGUUCACAUGGGAGGACCAGGACAGGCCCAAGGAUAUGGGGUUUAUCUUUUAAAGGAUACCCACACCUCCCAGAAGAAAAGGCACCAGCAUCAGCAAAAAGAACGCCUCUGAUUACUAACACAGCUUACCUGGAUUCUGAACAUAAAGAUCAUCUUUUCCUUGUGUAUUCCCCAACAUUGCCUCAGGUGAAUGAGACAACUUCCACCUACCACAGCCCUGACUCCUCUGCAGGCACUCAGAUGACUUGUUGAGCACCUGAAGUUAAUCUGACAUCAGUACCUCCUCCAGUGAUGCAGGCAGAUGAUCUCUCUGAUACCUGUUAGCACAUAUGGCAUCUUCAAUUUUGAAGAGAAUGGUUGGGUCAGAAAAUCAAGCACAUCCGCCACCAAAAACACACUUCCUGUAAGAUGCAGAAGACUACA
Long non-coding RNA from Ochotona princeps (American pika), 530 nucleotides. RefSeq lists it as uncharacterized. NCBI's taxonomy places the organism in Eukaryota, Metazoa, Chordata, Mammalia, Lagomorpha, Ochotonidae. The transcript is spliced from 3 exons. The record is from RefSeq and is a predicted model, not a curated record.